RNAcentral lists this ribosomal RNA (433 nucleotides) under uncultured bacterium. RNAcentral describes it as "partial 16S ribosomal RNA". It matches the Rfam family "Bacterial small subunit ribosomal RNA", at positions 29 to 507 of the family's 1533-position model. The record is from RNAcentral.
AACGAACGCUGGCGGCAUGCCUAACACAUUCAAGUCGAACGAGACCUUCGGGUCUAGUGGCGCACGGGUGCGUAACGCGUGGGAACCUGCCCUUAGGUUCGGAAUAACUCCCCGAAAGGGGUGCUAAUACCGGAUAAUGUCUUCGGACCAAAGAUUUAUCGCCUUUGGAUGGGCCCGCGUUGGAUUAGCUAGUUGGUAGGGUAAAAGCCUACCAAGGCGACGAUCCAUAGCUGGUCUGAGAGGAUGAUCAGCCACACUGGGACUGAGACACGGCCCAGACUCCUACGGGAGGCAGCAGUGGGGAAUAUUGGACAAUGGGCGAAAGCCUGAUCCAGCAAUGCCGCGUGAGUGAUGAAGGCCUUAGGGUUGUAAAGCUCUUUUACCCGGGAUGAUAAUGACAGUACCGGGAGAAUAAGCUCCGGCUAACUCCGUG